Brassica oleracea var. oleracea is the source of this 872-nucleotide long non-coding RNA. RefSeq lists it as uncharacterized. The transcript is spliced from 4 exons. NCBI's taxonomy places the organism in Eukaryota, Viridiplantae, Streptophyta, Magnoliopsida, Brassicales, Brassicaceae. The record is from RefSeq and is a predicted model, not a curated record.
UGUUGCACCAUUCGACAUUGACAUGGGCCUUGUAUUUCUUCAAGAUCUGGAGGUUGUGGGGGACAACAAAUUGAUUAUCAAGCUUGAUGUUUCCCUUGGAAACAAACUGCCCAGUCUGUCUGCGCUUGUACAAGAUGUAGCCUGAUUCAUUAACUUGGGUGUGUGGAACAUAACUGCGGGGGAAUUUCUUUGUGCAAACACCGUUGUCCAUGCAAGGAGAUGAUAAUCUGUCUUUCCCACAAGGACCAUGCAUCAUGUGUUGCUCCACCAAACCAAAAGCUUCAGGGUCCUUUUCCUUGUCAGGGAGCUCUGCUGAGAUGAUGUUGUCAAUAUCAGCUGCAGUGGGAUUUCUGAAGUCCCCUUCGAGCCAUAGAAGUAUGUGGGCGUGUGGAAUGGUACCUGCUUUGGGUCUGGGAAAAAAUAUGCCUUUGUUGAAAUCUGACAUCAACUCAUCGAGCUUCAUCUUGAACACUCUAGACUCGAGGUCGGGCCGGUCGUUGGGAUCAUCGGUUCCAUACAGUUUGAGGUGGUCAGAUAGCUCUUCCCACUUAGGAUUUGUUGUAAUAGUGAUAAAUAAGUCUGGAUUCCCGUGCCAUCGACAUAUUGCCAUCGCAUCAUGAUACUUUUCUGCCAUAUAACGGGGGCUGCCCGUAUAGCUGGAGGUUCUGCUCUGAUUUUCUUCUGGUUUAAGCGGAACCAACGCAACCUUUCCUGCUCUAUGCAUGUAAAAGCGUCAACAAUAUACUGGUGGAACAACCUUUUGGACCUCACAAUAACCAUGCCUUCAGCUAAGCGGGUUUGUAUUUGCCUAUCUGUCCAUACGGGAAGAGGAUUGGGUAUUGCAAAGUCAUAAAGAGUGGGUGCAUAUCACU